GUGCUUGCUUCAGCAGCACAUAUACUAAAAUUGGAACAAUAAAGAGAAGACUAGCAUGGCCCCUGCACAAGGAUGACACACAAAUUUAUGAAGUGUCUCAUAAAAAA
This 107-nucleotide small nuclear RNA is filed under the name Microcebus murinus (gray mouse lemur). The record is from RNAcentral. Lineage: Eukaryota; Metazoa; Chordata; Mammalia; Primates; Cheirogaleidae.